UACCUGCCUCUUGAAUUUGACUGUUCUUAGU
RNAcentral lists this non-coding RNA (31 nucleotides) under Rattus norvegicus (Norway rat). The record is from RNAcentral. Lineage: Eukaryota; Metazoa; Chordata; Mammalia; Rodentia; Muridae.